GUGUCAGCCGCCGCGGUAAUACGUAGGGGGCAAGCGUUGUCCGGAAUCAUUGGGCGUAAAGCGCGUGUAGGCGGCCCGGAAAGUCUGGUGUGAAAACUUGAGGCUCAACCUCAAGCUGUCACUGGAUACUAUCGGGCUUGAGUCCGGAAGAGGAGAAUGGAAUUCCUGGUGUAGCGGUGGAAUGCGCAGAUAUCAGGAGGAACACCAAUGGCGAAGGCAGUUCUCUGGUACGUGACUGACGCUGAGACGCGAAAGCGUGGGGAGCAAACAGGAUUAGAUACCCUGGUAGUCCACGCCGUAAACGAUGGAUGCUAGGUGUGGGAGGUGUCGACUCCUUCCGUGCCGAAGCUAACGCAUUAAGCAUCCCGCCUGGGGAGUACGGCCGCAAGGCUAAA
This 395-nucleotide ribosomal RNA is filed under the name uncultured bacterium. RNAcentral describes it as "bacterial SSU rRNA". It matches the Rfam family "Bacterial small subunit ribosomal RNA", at positions 505 to 898 of the family's 1533-position model. The record is from RNAcentral.